RNAcentral lists this ribosomal RNA (520 nucleotides) under uncultured Glomus. RNAcentral describes it as "SSU rRNA". It matches the Rfam family "Eukaryotic small subunit ribosomal RNA", at positions 569 to 1093 of the family's 1831-position model. The record is from RNAcentral. Lineage: Eukaryota; Fungi; Glomeromycota; Glomeromycetes; Glomerales; Glomeraceae.
AGCAGCCGCGGUAAUUCCAGCUCCAAUAGCGUAUAUUAAAGUUGCUGCAGUUAAAAAGCUCGUAGUUGAAUUUCGGGACUAAUAUGUCGGUCGUGCCUCGGUACGUACUGGCUUAUUGGUUUCUCCUUUCUGAAGAACCAUGAUGUCAUUUAUUUGGUGUCGUGGGGAAUCAGGACUGUUACUUUGAAAAAAUUAGAGUGUUUAAAGCAGGCUUUAGCUUGAAUACAUUAGCAUGGAAUAAUGAAAUAGGACGUUCGAACCUAUUUUGUUGGUUUCUAGGAUCAACGUAAUGAUUAAUAGGGAUAGUUGGGGGCAUUAGUAUUCAAUUGUCAGAGGUGAAAUUCUUGGAUUUAUUGAAGACUAACUACUGCGAAAGCAUUUGCCAAGGAUGUUUUCAUUAAUCAAGAACGAAAGUUAGGGGAUCGAAGACGAUCAGAUACCGUCGUAGUCUUAACCAUAAACUAUGCCGACUAGGGAUCGGAUGAUGUUAAUUUUUAAUGACUCAUUCGGCGCCUUACGG